AUGCUUGCCUGGCAGGGGAGAUACCGUGUUCGCCAAGGUCGCUCUCCCAGGCAAGGCUUAUCCUUUGCGCUCUGGAUGUGCUGACCCUUGCGACUUCCCCAAAUGUGGGAAACUCAACUGCAUUAUUUGUGGCAGUGGAGGACUGUGUUUGCGCUCUCCCCUG
This 163-nucleotide small nuclear RNA is filed under the name Dasypus novemcinctus (nine-banded armadillo). Its description in RNAcentral is "U1 spliceosomal RNA (ENSDNOG00000043266.1)". It matches the Rfam family "U1 spliceosomal RNA". From Rfam's summary of the family: U1 is a small nuclear RNA (snRNA) component of the spliceosome (involved in pre-mRNA splicing). Its 5' end forms complementary base pairs with the 5' splice junction, thus defining the 5' donor site of an intron. There are significant differences in sequence and secondary structure between metazoan and yeast U1 snRNAs, the latter being much longer (568 nucleotides as compared to 164 nucleotides in human). Lineage: Eukaryota; Metazoa; Chordata; Mammalia; Cingulata; Dasypodidae. The record is from RNAcentral.